RNAcentral lists this long non-coding RNA (775 nucleotides) under Pan troglodytes (chimpanzee). RNAcentral describes it as "long non-coding RNA NONPTRT010903". The record is from RNAcentral. Lineage: Eukaryota; Metazoa; Chordata; Mammalia; Primates; Hominidae.
UUCCUGGAGAUUGCGCCUGCAUCUUUGCAGGGGCUGGGACAGACAAUUCGGAACUCACCAGGACGGGCACUUCUGAGCAGAAAUCAUGCCUUGGGGUCACCUCAACUUUUCAGAUGAUUCAUGCCGUCAUCACUUCCCAUCUCGGAUCCUGGGCUCACAGCCAUCCCAAAGCCUUUCCUGCUCUGCUUGGCUGGAAACAGAUGCAGACUGACAGAUGUCUCCUUCAGGAACUGUGACAUCUUCACACCCAUCCUGGGGCAGCCACUCCCUUCCAGGCCUCUUCAGAGAACAGCUCUUCUUAGGGCUCUCCCAAGGCUACCAGGCCUGGUCCUGACACCCUCCAAUACCGGGCGUCUUCUCUCCCAGCUCUUUCCCCCUCCACCAGCCUCCAAGCACCCUCCUCUCCUUGCAUGCACCCCACUCAGUCCUAUUGGCUUCCAGUGCCUUAAUGUGACUUUCCCCUCCCCUCUUGCUGGGUGCAGUUCCACCCCUCUUAAGAUCUUCUCACUCUUUCUUCCUCUUGCUGCAAUGAUUUGGUUGUGGGGUUGGGUGGGGGGUACAUGCUCUUAGGAGUCCCCUUCAGCCAGUCAAGUGCCCACAUCCUCUGACUGCCUCUCCUACCCCACUUGCUGCCCCACCCCCUUUCCUUGGCUUGGCCUGCCUUUCCUGACAGUGACAGUCCCUUUCCACAUCCUAGGGUGCUGUGAGAACCAAACAAGACCAUAUACAUGAAGUGCGUUGUAAACCGUAAAAUCUCCAAAAGUAGGCCGCGCAC